RNAcentral lists this ribosomal RNA (253 nucleotides) under uncultured bacterium. RNAcentral describes it as "partial 16S ribosomal RNA". It matches the Rfam family "Bacterial small subunit ribosomal RNA", at positions 524 to 776 of the family's 1533-position model. The record is from RNAcentral.
UACGGAGGGGGUUAGCGUUGUUCGGAAUGACUGGGCGUAAAGCGCGCGUAGGCGGGCUGGAAAGUCAGGGGUGAAAUCCCGGGGCUCAACCCUGGAAUGGCCUUUGAAACUCCCAGCCUUGAGUUCGAGAGAGGUGAGUGGAAUUCCGAGUGUAGAGGUGAAAUUCGUAGAUAUUCGGAAGAACACCAGUGGCGAAGGCGGCUCACUGGACUGGUAUUGACGCUGAGGUGCGAAAGCGUGGGGAGCAAACAGG